AGAGUUUGAUCCUGGCUCAGAUUGAACGCUGGCGGAAUGCUUUACACAUGCAAGUCGAACGGCAGCACGGGGCAACCUGGUGGCGAGUGGCGAACGGGUGAGUAAUAUAUCGGAACGUGCCCAAUCGUGGGGGAUAACGUAGCGAAAGUUACGCUAAUACCGCAUACGAUCUACGGAUGAAAGCGGGGGAUCGCAAGACCUCGCGCGAAUGGAGCGGCCGAUAUCAGAUUAGGUAGUUGGUGGGGUAAAGGCUCACCAAGCCAACGAUCUGUAGCUGGUCUGAGGGGAUGACCAGCCACACUGGAACUGAGACACGGUCCAGACUCCUACGGGAGGCAGCAGUGGGGAAUUUUGGACAAUGGGCGCAAGCCUGAUCCAGCCAUUCCGCGUGCAGGAUGAAGGCCUUCGGGUUGUAAACUGCUUUUGUACGGAACGAAACGGCGAGCUUUAAUACAGUUUGCUAAUGACGGUACCGUAAGAAUAAGCACCGGCUAACUACGUGCCAGCAGCCGCGGUAAUACGUAGGGUGCAAGCGUUAAUCGGAAUUACUGGGCGUAAAGCGUGCGCAGGCGGUUAUAUAAGACAGAUGUGAAAUCCCCGGGCUCAACCUGGGAACUGCAUUUGUGACUGUAUAGCUAGAGUACGGCAGAGGGGGAUGGAAUUCCGCGUGUAGCAGUGAAAUGCGUAGAUAUGCGGAGGAACACCGAUGGCGAAGGCAAUCCCCUGGGCCUGUACUGACGCUCAUGCACGAAAGCGUGGGGAGCAAACAGGAUUAGAUACCCUGGUAGUCCACGCCCUAAACGAUGUCAACUGGUUGUUGGGUCUUCACUGACUCAGUAACGAAGCUAACGCGUGAAGUUGACCGCCUGGGGAGUACGGCCGCAAGGUUGAAACUCAAAGGAAUUGACGGAGACCCGCACAAGCGGUGGAUGAUGUGGUUUAAUUCGAUGUAACGCGAAAAACCUUACCCACCUUUGACAUGUACGGAAUCCUUUAGAGAUAGAGGAGUGCUCGAAAGAGAGCCGUAACACAGGUGCUGCAUGGCUGUCGUCAGCUCGUGUCGUGAGAUGUUGGGUUAAGUCCCGCAACGAGCGCAACCCUUGUCAUUAGUUGCUACAUUCAGUUGGGCCCUCUAAUGAGACUGCCGGUGACAAACCGGAGGAAGGUGGGGAUGACGUCAAGUCCUCAUGGCCCUUAUAGGUGGGGCUACACACGUCAUACAAUGGCUGGUACAGAGGGUUGCCAACCCGCGAGGGGGAGCUAAUCCCAUAAAACCAGUCGUAGUCCGGAUCGCAGUCUGCAACUCGACUGCGUGAAGUCGGAAUCGCUAGUAAUCGCGGAUCAGAAUGUCGCGGUGAAUACGUUCCCGGGUCUUGUACACACCGCCCGUCACACCAUGGGAGCGGGUUCUGCCAGAAGUAGUUAGCCUAACCGCAAGGAGGGCGAUUACCACGGCAGG
This 1459-nucleotide ribosomal RNA is filed under the name metagenome. RNAcentral describes it as "bacterial SSU rRNA". It matches the Rfam family "Bacterial small subunit ribosomal RNA". The record is from RNAcentral.